Molecule: unclassified non-coding RNA, 26 nt
Filed under: Mus musculus (house mouse)
Lineage: Eukaryota; Metazoa; Chordata; Mammalia; Rodentia; Muridae
Description: oocyte_clustered_small_RNA783
Source: RNAcentral
UGUGGACAGCACCAUGGGUCCCUCCA